CUUCUGAAAGGGAUCAUCUUUAUGUGGAAAGAUUGAGACUUUGACGGAGAGGAAUCAGAGAUUGAGCAAUCGCCCUACGAGAGCAAGGACAAGUAAGCGCAGGGGAAGGACAGAAGUUGAGAUGAGAUAUGUCAAAGGUGAAGCCUUUUUGAACCAAUCUCUGUCGGGAAAUUGAUUUUUGUCCGAUUGAUUGAGAGAGGUUAAAAAUCAAAGGUUUUUAUGACCUAGUGCGGACUCUGUUCUUUAAUUUUUCGAAAACUAUUUUGAAGCCCCUCGAGAAUCUUUUAUUUUAUAUAAUGGCCCCGUUGUUUUUUAUUUUUUCAAUUUUGAAGUUGAGAAGUUUUGUAACUUUGGGAUUUUAGUGACGGAUAUACAUUGAAUGUUUAAGAAAUGGGAUUGGAGAAACGGAAGAGAAAAGAACAUUAGUUAUGUUCAAGUCCUAAUGAAAUAAGACUAUUUACAAAUCCAUUGGACGUGUGUUCAAGAGCAGGCGCAUGACAAUCCAUCGAUCUUCAACGGGAUAAAAGUUCGCGAGCUCUUCUUUUUGUCUACUCCCGGAUGAACUUAUGUAGUUCGAGUUGGUCCUAUUUAAUGUGCUUGUUGAAAUGUUACUUUUCUUAAUUAAAAAAGGAUAUGAGAGUAGGUUUAGAUCAUUUAUCAAGCCUCUAGAAAAUUGUUACUUGCACUCACAAUCUCCAAAAUAAACAGAUCCAAGAAAAAUAAGAUAAAUCUCUGUCUGUGUAGAUAAAUAAAAAGGGAGUUGAUCCAAAACAUGUUCUACAAACGAUUGUUCCAACUUAAACGUAAAAAAACACAAAACAUAAAAGGUUCAGAGAGUUAUGGAUAGGCAUGGAGA
Brassica rapa (field mustard) is the source of this 856-nucleotide long non-coding RNA. RefSeq lists it as uncharacterized. The record is from RefSeq and is a predicted model, not a curated record. Lineage: Eukaryota; Viridiplantae; Streptophyta; Magnoliopsida; Brassicales; Brassicaceae.